This 460-nucleotide ribosomal RNA is filed under the name uncultured bacterium. RNAcentral's name for it is "partial 16S ribosomal RNA". It matches the Rfam family "Bacterial small subunit ribosomal RNA", at positions 338 to 795 of the family's 1533-position model. The record is from RNAcentral.
CCUACGGGUGGCAGCAGUGAGGAAUAUUGGUCAAUGGACGAGAGUCUGAACCAGCCAAGUAGCGUGAAGGAUGACUGCCCUCUGGGUUGUAAACUUCUUUUAUAUGGGAAUAAAAUGUUCCACGUGUGGGAUUAUGUAUGUACCAUAAGAAUAAGGAUCGGCCAACUCCGUGCCAGCAGCCGCGGUAAUACGGAGGAGCCGAGCGUUAUCCGGAUUUAUUGGGUGUAAAGGGAGCGUAGGUGGAUUGUUAAGUCAGUUGUGAAAGGUCGCGGCUCAACCGUAGAAUUGCAGUUGAAACUGGCAGGCUGGAGUACAGUAGGGGUGGGCGGAAUUCGUAGUGUAGCGGUGAAAUGCUUAGAUAUCACGAAGAACUCCGAUUGCGAAGGCAGUUCACUGGACUGCAACUGACACUGAGGCUCGAAAGUGUGGGGAUCAAACAGGAUUAGAUACCCGUGUAGUC